Molecule: long non-coding RNA, 885 nt
Filed under: Rattus norvegicus (Norway rat)
Lineage: Eukaryota; Metazoa; Chordata; Mammalia; Rodentia; Muridae
Description: long non-coding RNA NONRATT004590
Source: RNAcentral
CGGUGGGGCAAGGAGGGCAGCCCGGAGGGCAGCGGCCCCGGCCCGCGUGUGCGGCCCUCUUUUGCACGCCAACACCGCGCGGGCUGUGCCGGGCCCCGCCACACGUGCAGCUAUGGUGGGCCGACUGAGCCUGCAGGAUGUCCCCGAGCUCGUGGACACGAAGAAAAAAGGAGACGGCGUCCUGGACAGCCCGGACUCGGGGCUGCCCCCAAGCCCUAGCCCCAGCCACUGGGGGCUCGCAGCGGCGACGGGCGGCGGUGGGGAGCGCGCUCCGGUCGCAGGGACGCUGGAGCCCGAUGCGACGGUCACCUCCGUAGUCCCGGUGAGUUGCCUCGUGCGCGGACUUCUCCCUGCCCCGGCCCUCCCGCAGCCCUCCCCGAGGACUCCCCAGCUCUCGCUGUCGGUGCGGCCACCCGCCCGUCGAGACGGCGUGGCCAUCGCCGGGAGCCGGGGCGGGAGCGUAGCGAGAGAGCCUGGCCAGCUGGAGCCAGUGGCUGGAAAAUUGUCAUCGCCUGGGAGGCGCGGGAGCCCCGGGAGAGGCGAGCCGCGGUCUCCUCCCUUCGAGGUGGCGGCCCCCGAGGCUGCCAGGCUGCGGCUCGACCACAUUCCUGCUGGGGCGGGCUGGGUGGGGCUCCCGGGACACGGACAGGGAUCCCGGCCCUCCCCACCGGGGGCCCACACCCGGAGGCUUUGCUCCCAAAGCGGCCUCCCUUUGCCCGGACCUGGGAGAGGGGUGUGCUCUGGGUUCCUGGCGCAAGGCGGACCAGCCUUUGGGGGAACCUUCUGAGUAGUCACACACGAGCCUUCAGGGUCUGGUAGGUCCCUUUCCCAGCCAGUGUUCCGCACUUAAUGAGAUCAGCGAUCUCCAGGUGGCCAGGGCUUUGA